AUUUCUUAAACAGCUAGGAUGUUGGCUUAGAAGCAGCCAUUCAUUUAAAGAGUGCGUAACAGCUCACUAGUCAAGAGAUCUUGCGUGGAAAAUGUAACGGGGCUAAACGUAAUACCGAAGACAUGGGUCUAUGCAUUAGCAUGGGCGGUAGAGGAGCGUUCCUAUCGGCAGUGAAGCAGCAUUGUAAAGUGCUGUGGAGCGGUAGGAAGUGAGAAUGCUGGAAUGAGUAACCAUAAGAGAGGUGAGAAUCCUCUCGGCCGUAAGAGCAAGGUUUCCUGAGCUAUGGUAAUCAUCUCAGGGUUAGUCGGGCCUAAGCCGAGGCGCAUAGCGUAGGCGAUGGACAUCAGGUUGAUAUUCCUGAACCGGCGUAGUUUGUACACUGUUCACGGAGAGAUAUUCAGAGCGGAUUCAUGGUUUAUCCGUCCAACCUAGCGGGAACGCAAAGGGAGUGAAAGUUACUCUGCGGAGUGAUGAUUCUGGAAAAGGCUCUGGCUAGAAAAGCAGGUGUACGCGUGGCUAUGUCCGCCCGUACCGCAAACCAACACAGGUGCUCGAGUCGAGUAGACUCAGGCUUACGAGUGAACCUUCGCUAAGGAACUCGGCAAUACAGCGACCGUAACUUCGGAAUAAGGUCUGCCCCCACUUCGGUGGAUAUGUUGUCGGUUUCAAAGCUAGCAGGUGUGGUUGAAGAGUAUCUUUAAUACAUCAAUUCUUCUUGAGAUAGAACCAAUAGCUUUUGGAACUGAAGCUCAACGCAUCUAGCGAUGUGGGGGCCGCAGCAAAAGAGCCCACGGAACUGUUUAUCAAAAACACAGCUCUCUGCUAACACGAAAGUGGAUGUAUAGGGGGUGACUCCUGCCCGGUGCUGGAAGGUUAAGGGGAGUGCUUCACGGUACGAACUGAAGCCCCAGUGAACGGCGGCGGUAACUAUAACCGUCCUAAGGUAGCGAAAUUCCUUGUCAGGUAAGUUCUGACCCGCACGAAUGGAGUAAUCAUGUGGGCACUGUCUCAGCGAAGGACUCGGUGAAAGUGCAUUGGCGGUAAAGAUGCCGUCUGUCCAUACCAGGACGAGAAGACCCCAUGGAGCUUUACUACAGCUUUACAUUGAUCCAGGUUUCAGUAUGUGUAGCAUAGUUGGGAGACUUUGAAACAGAUACGCUAGUAUUUGCGGAGUCGCAAUGUGAAAUACCAACCUUGCUGUGAUCUUGAUCUCACUUGUGCCGUUAUCCGGUACAAGGACCGUGUAUGGUGGGUAGUUUAACUGGGGCGGUUGCCUCCUAAAGAGUAGCGGAGGCGUUCAAAGGUUGGCUAACUUCGGAUGGAAAUCGAAGUGAUAGUGUAUGCGCAUAAGCCAGCUUGACUGUGAGGAGUACAUUCCAAUCAGAGACGAAAGUCGGAGCAAGUGACCCGCUGUACGAACAUUUGUUCAUUGAAUGUGGGAUCGACAGCGCACACGGAUAAAAGUUACCCUGGGGAUAACAGGCUUAUAGCGCCCAAUAGUUCACAUAGACGGCGCUGUUUGGCACCUCGAUGUCGGCUCAUCACAUCCUGGAGGGGAAGCACCUUCCAAGGGUUCGGCUGUUCGCCGAUUAAAGUGGUACGCGAGCUGGGUUCAGAACGUCGUGAGACAGUUCGGUUUAUAUCCGGUAUGGACGUCAGGAAAUUUGCGAGGAUUUGCCCCUAGUACGAGAGGACCGGGGUGAACGCACCGCUGGUGUACGGAUUGUGGCCACCUGCUGCAUUGUCCGGUAGCUAUGUGCGGACCAGAUAAGCGCUGAAAGCAUAUUAAGCGCGAAACUGACCUCAAGAUUAGAUUUCCCUAUGAGGACACAGAUAGACUAUCUGUUUGAUAGGUGCAAGGUGGAAGUGCAGUAAUGUAUGGAGCCGAAGCAUACUAAUAGUCCCAUUGCCUUUUUAU
Molecule: ribosomal RNA, 1918 nt
Filed under: human metagenome
Description: bacterial LSU rRNA
Rfam family: Bacterial large subunit ribosomal RNA
Source: RNAcentral